RNAcentral lists this ribosomal RNA (480 nucleotides) under uncultured bacterium. RNAcentral describes it as "partial 16S ribosomal RNA". It matches the Rfam family "Bacterial small subunit ribosomal RNA", at positions 30 to 507 of the family's 1533-position model. The record is from RNAcentral.
AUUGAACGCUGGCGGCAGGCCUAACACAUGCAAGUCGAGCGGAUGGAGGGAGCUUGCUCCUGGAUUCAGCGGCGGACGGGUGAGUAAUGCCUAGGAAUCUGCCUGGUGGGGAUAACGUCCGGAAACGGGCGCUAAUACCGCAUACGUCCUGAGGGAGAAAGUGGGGGAUCUUCGGACCUCACGCUAUCAGAUGAGCCUAGGUCGGAUUAGCUAGUUGGUGGGGUAAAGGCCUACCAAGGCGACGAUCCGUAACUGGUCUGAGAGGAUGAUCAGUCACACUGGAACUGAGACACGGUCCAGACUCCUACGGGAGGCAGCAGUGGGGAAUAUUGGACAAUGGGCGAAAGCCUGAUCCAGCCAUGCCGCGUGUGUGAAGAAGGUCUUCGGAUUGUAAAGCACUUUAAGUUGGGAGGAAGGGCAGUAAGUUAAUACCUUGCUGUUUUGACGUUACCAACAGAAUAAGCACCGGCUAACUUCGUG